AACGAACGCUGGCGGCAGGCUUAACACAUGCCAGUCGAACGGAUCCUUCGGGAUUAGUGGCAGACGGGUGAGUAACGCGUGGGAACGUACCCUUUGCUACGGAAUAACUCAGGGAAACUUGAGCUAAUACCGUAUGUGCCCUACGGGGGAAAGGUUUAUCGGCAAAGGAUCGGCCCGCGUUGGAUUACCUAGUUGGUGGGGUAAUGGCCUACCAAGGCGACGAUCCAUAGCUGGUCUGAGAGGAAGAUCAGCCACACUGGGACUGAGACACGGCCCAGACUCCUGCGGGAGGCAGCAGUGGGGAAUAUUGGACAAUGGGCGCAAGCCUGAUCCAGCCAUGCCGCGUGAGUGAUGAAGGUCUUAGGAUUGUAAAGCUCUUUCACCGGUGAAGAUAAUGACGGUAGCCGGAGAAGAAGCCCCGGCUAACUUCGUG
RNAcentral lists this ribosomal RNA (433 nucleotides) under uncultured bacterium. RNAcentral's name for it is "partial 16S ribosomal RNA". It matches the Rfam family "Bacterial small subunit ribosomal RNA", at positions 29 to 507 of the family's 1533-position model. The record is from RNAcentral.